AUUGAACGCUGGCGGCAGGCCUAACACAUGCAAGUCGAACGAGUGGCGGACGGGUGAGUAAUGUCUGGGAAACUGCCUGCUGGAGGGGGAUAACUACUGGAAACGGUAGCUAAUACCUCAUACCAGCGGAUGUGCCCAGAGGGGAUUAGCUAGUAGGUGGGGUAAAGGCUCACCUAGGCGACGAUCCCUAGCUGGUCUGAGAGGAUGACCAGGCAAACUGGAACAGAGACACGGUGCAGACUCCUAGGGGAGGCAGCAGUGGGGAAGUGGGCACAAUGGGCGCAAGCCUGAUGCAGCCAUGCCGCGUGUAUGAAGAAGGCAUGCGGGUUGUAAAGUACUUUCAGCGGGGAGGCGUUACCCGCAGAAGAAGCACCGGCUAACUCCGUGCCAGCAGCCGCGGUAAUUC
Molecule: ribosomal RNA, 406 nt
Filed under: uncultured bacterium
Lineage: Bacteria
Description: partial 16S ribosomal RNA
Rfam family: Bacterial small subunit ribosomal RNA
Source: RNAcentral